This 468-nucleotide ribosomal RNA is filed under the name uncultured bacterium. RNAcentral describes it as "partial 16S ribosomal RNA". It matches the Rfam family "Bacterial small subunit ribosomal RNA", at positions 28 to 507 of the family's 1533-position model. The record is from RNAcentral.
GACGAACGCUGGCGGCGUGCUUAACACAUGCAAGUCGAACGGAAAGGCCCUGCUUUUGUGGGGUGCUCGAGUGGCGAACGGGUGAGUAACACGUGAGUAACCUGCCCUUGACUUUGGGAUAACUUCAGGAAACUGGGGCUAAUACCGGAUAGGAGCUCCUGCUGCAUGGUGGGGGUUGGAAAGUUUCGGCGGUUGGGGAUGGACUCGCGGCUUAUCAGCUUGUUGGUGGGGUAGUGGCUUACCAAGGCUUUGACGGGUAGCCGGCCUGAGAGGGUGACCGGCCACAUUGGGACUGAGAUACGGCCCAGACUGCUACGGGAGGCAGCAGUGGGGGAUAUUGCACGAUGGGCGGAAGCCUGAUGCAGCAACGCCGCGUGCGGGAUGACGGCCUUCGGGUUGUAAACCGCUUUCGCCUGUGACGAAGCGUGAGUGACGGUAAUGGGUAAAGAAGCACCGGCUAACUACGUG